GUUUACAGCCAUACCACCCUGAAUAUGCCAGAUCUCGUCCAAUCUCGGAAGCUAAGCAGGAUCAGGCUCCAUUAGUACUUGGAUGGAAGACAACAUGGGAAUACCAAGUGCUGUAAGCU
Molecule: ribosomal RNA, 119 nt
Filed under: Erpetoichthys calabaricus (reedfish)
Lineage: Eukaryota; Metazoa; Chordata; Cladistia; Polypteriformes; Polypteridae
Source: RNAcentral